Molecule: ribosomal RNA, 777 nt
Filed under: uncultured bacterium
Lineage: Bacteria
Description: bacterial SSU rRNA
Rfam family: Bacterial small subunit ribosomal RNA
Source: RNAcentral
ACGGUAACAGGACUUCGGUCGCUGACGAGUGGCGCACGGGUGAGUAACGCGUGGGUUACCUGCCCAUAAGUGGGGAACAACUUGGAGAAAUCCAAGCUAAUACCGCAUAAUACCUUCGGGUUAAAGAGGGGGAUCUUCGGACCUCUCGCUUAUGGAUGGUCCCGCGUCUGAUUAGCUAGUUGGUAGGGUAAUGGCCUACCAAGGCAAUGAUCAGUAGCUGGUCUGAGAGGAUGAUCAGUCACACUGGAACUGAGACACGGUCCAGACUCCUACGGGAGGCAGCAGUGGGGAAUUUUGCACAAUGGGCGAAAGCCUGAUGCAGCGACGCCGCGUGCGGGAAGAAGGCCUUCGGGUUGUAAACCGCUUUCAACAGGGAAGAAGGAAUGAGAGCUAAUACCUCUCUGCCUUGACGGUACCUGUAGAAGAAGCACCGGCUAAUUUCGUGCCAGCAGCCGCGGUAAUACGAAAGGUGCAAGCGUUGUUCGGAUUUACUGGGCGUAAAGAGAUCGUAGGUGGCUUGUUAAGUCGGAUGUGAAAUCCCGGGGCUCAACCCCGGAACUGCAUCCGAUACUGGCAGGCUUGAGUUUGGGGAGGGGUAAGCGGAAUUCCGUGUGUAGCAGUGAAAUGCGUAGAUAUACGGAGGAACACCUGAGGCGAAAGCGGGCCUACUGGACCAAUACUGACACUGAGAUCGAAAGCGUGGGUAGCAAACAGAUUAGAUACCCUGGUAGUCCACGCCCUAACGAUGUCAACUAGCCGUUGCGGGGUAUCGACCCC